This 850-nucleotide ribosomal RNA is filed under the name uncultured bacterium. RNAcentral's name for it is "bacterial SSU rRNA". It matches the Rfam family "Bacterial small subunit ribosomal RNA", at positions 50 to 886 of the family's 1533-position model. The record is from RNAcentral.
CUUACCUGCAGUCGACGGCAGCGCGGGCUUCGGCCUGGCGGCGAGUGGCGAACGGGUGAGUAAUAUAUCGGAACGUACCCCAGAGUGGGGGAUAACGUAGCGAAAGUUACGCUCAUACCCCAUACGAUCUCAGGAUGAAAGCAGGGGACCGCAAGGCCUUGUGCUCCUGGAGCGGCCGAUAUCUGAUUAGCUAGUUGGUGAGGUAAAGGCUCACCAAGGCAACGAUCAGUAGCUGGUCUGAGAGGACCACCAGCCACGCUGGAACUGACACACGGUCCAGACUCCUCCGGGAGGCAGCAGUGGGGAAUUUUGGACAAUGGGGGCAACCCUGAUCCAUCAAUGCCACCUGAGUGAAGAAGGCCUUCAGGUUGUAAAGCUCUUUUGUCCGGGAAGAAAAGGUCGUGGCUAAUAUCCACGACUGCUGACGGUACCUGAAGAAUAAGCACCGGCUAACUACGUGCCACCAGCCGCCGUAAUACGUAGGGUGCAAGCGUUAAUCGGAAUUACUGGGCGUAAACCGUGCGCACGCGGUUUCGUAAGUCUGUCUCUGAAAUCCCCGGGCUUAACCUGGCCAAUGGCGAUCGAUACUGCCAGGCUAGAGUUUGGCCGAGGGGGGUAGAAUUCCACCUCUAGCAGUGAAAUGCUUCGAGAUGUGGAGGAACACCGAUGGCGAAGGCGGCCCCCUGGGUCAAAACUGACGCUCAUGCACGAAAGCCUGGGGAGCCAACAGGGAUUAGAUACCCUGGUAGUCCACGCCCUAAACGAUGUCUACUAAGUUGUUGGGGUCUUUAAUUCACUUAAUUAACGCCCCCUAAACGCCUUGAAAGUACACCGCCUGGGGAAGUAACGG